UACGAAGGGGGCUAGCGUUGUUCGGAAUUACUGGGCGUAAAGCGCACGUAGGCGGAUAUUUAAGUCAGGGGUGAAAUCCCGGGGCUCAACCCCGGAACUGCCUUUGAUACUGGAGAGCUUGAGUCCGGAAGAGGUGAGUGGAACUCCGAGUGUAGAGGUGAAAUUCGUAGAUAUUCGGAAGAACACCAGUGGCGAAGGCGGCUCACUGGUCCGGUACUGACGCUGAGGUGCGAAAGCGUGGGGAGCAAACAGG
Molecule: ribosomal RNA, 253 nt
Filed under: uncultured bacterium
Lineage: Bacteria
Description: partial 16S ribosomal RNA
Rfam family: Bacterial small subunit ribosomal RNA
Source: RNAcentral